Molecule: long non-coding RNA, 498 nt
Filed under: Helianthus annuus (common sunflower)
Lineage: Eukaryota; Viridiplantae; Streptophyta; Magnoliopsida; Asterales; Asteraceae
Description: sRNA HanXRQr2_Chr09g0381221
Source: RNAcentral
UCUUUGCCUCGAUUCUUAUUGUGAAACUAUUAUUAACCAGGACACAAUGUUAAACGAAAGGUGUGUCAUUAUUAUUCUAACUUUGUGUUGGUCAUUUAAAAGCCACUUAAUGUGAUACUUUUUGAUGUUAGAAAUGUCUCAUCUUCAAAGUUGAUAAUUUUGCAACCAUGUUAUUAUAGUUGUUCUCUUUUAAAUAUUUUUGUAUCUGCACAGAUAUACCACCUUUUUCAAGCAUCUUGCUAGAAUGCAGUUUGGUGAUUUUGUAAAUGACCAAUUGUUUCUGUCAUUGAGAGUCCAAUUAGCCGGCAUAUCUCCUUGUUUGGAUCAUUUUACUAGUUUAGUGUAAAAGUUUGAAACAUUGACAUUUUAAUCCAAAUAGUUUGAAACAUUGACAUUUUAGUGUAAUAAGUUAAACCUCAUCCCUUUAUUCUGUUAAAUAGAAAGGUAAUUUGAUCCUUUUAUAUGUAACAAUGUUAACUAGUAGGACAAUUCGAACAU